GUGCUGGGAUUACAGGCAUGAGCCACCGCUCCCGGCCCGGCAGGCCCCCUAGAAGAUGCCAAUCAAAAUAAACUGCAUUCUUGAGACACAGGGCAAGAAAUUAAAGCUAUCCACCUCCUCAAGGCCCAGGGACUACGUGGAAGAGACAUCGAGUCAUGAAUAUGGAAUGACUUCACCUGACUUCACUUGAAAUUCACUUAAUUUUCAACUCUGUUGGCUAUGAGAUUUCAAGAAGACUGGAUAUUGGAGAGAAUCAUAAUAAAUGCAAGUAUUGGACAUUCAACUGUCUAGUUCCAACGUGCCAC
RNAcentral lists this long non-coding RNA (305 nucleotides) under Homo sapiens (human). RNAcentral describes it as "HSALNT0325616". The record is from RNAcentral. Lineage: Eukaryota; Metazoa; Chordata; Mammalia; Primates; Hominidae.